ACUCCUUCAAACCAGUACCUGGAAGGCUCAUCUAAGGUCUUCUAGGCCUAGCAUUCUAACAUCAAAUGAUCAUCUGAUGAUCAUUUAAGGUUGUUGAAAAAUUCUGGUUGUGAACUUCUGUGUCUUUUUAGUUCUUCAUGAUCAUGCAGAAUUGCAAGCCUUUUCACAUUCCUUUAGAAACUCCCCAACUUUUAAAUCAUUUGAAGAAAAGGUCGAAAACUUAAAGUCUAAAGUAGGGGGAACCAAGCCUGCUGGUGGUGAUUUUGGAGAAGUCUUGAAUUCGGCUGCAAAUGCUAGUGCCACCACCACGGAGCCUCUUCCAGAACAGACACAGGAGAGCCUGUGAGAUUCCUACCUUUGUUCUGCUACCCACUGCCAGAUGCUGCAAGCGAGGUCCAAGCACAUCUUGUCAACAUGCAUUGCCAUGAAUUUCUACCAGAUGUGCUUUUAUUUAGCUUUACAUAUUCCUUUGACCAAAUAGUUUGUGGGUUAAACAAAAUGAAAAUAUCUUCACCUCUAUUCUUGGGAAACACCCUUUAGUGUACAUUUAUGUUCCUUUAUUUAGGAAACACCAUU
RNAcentral lists this small RNA (576 nucleotides) under Pan troglodytes (chimpanzee). Its description in RNAcentral is "processed transcript". The record is from RNAcentral. Lineage: Eukaryota; Metazoa; Chordata; Mammalia; Primates; Hominidae.